GUAGUCAUAUGCUUGUCUCAAAGAUUAAGCCAUGCAUGUCUAAGUAUAAGCAAUUAUACCGUGAAACUGCGAAUGGCUCAUUAAAUCAGUUAUCGUUUAUUUGAUAGUACCUUACUACUUGGAUAACCGUGGUAAUUCUAGAGCUAAUACAUGCUGAAAACCCCAACUUCGGAAGGGGUGUAUUUAUUAGAUAAAAAACCAAUGCCCUUCGGGGCUCCUUGGUGAUUCAUAAUAACUUCUCAGAUCGCAUGACCUUGCGCCGGCGACGGUUCAUUCAAAUUUCUGCCCUAUCAACUUUCGAUGGUAAGGUAUUGGCUUACCAUGGUUUCAACGGGUAACGGGGAAUUAGGGUUCGAUUCCGGAGAGGGAGCCUGAGAAACGGCCACCACAUCCAAGGAAGGCAGCAGUCGCGCAAAUUACCCAAUCCCGACACGGGGAGGUAGUGACAAUAAAUACUGAUACAGGGCUCUUUUGGGUCUUGUAAUUGGAAUGAGUACAAUUUAUAUCCCUUAACGAGGAACAAUUGGGGGGCAAGUCUGGUGCCAGCAGCC
RNAcentral lists this ribosomal RNA (551 nucleotides) under uncultured eukaryote. Its description in RNAcentral is "SSU rRNA". It matches the Rfam family "Eukaryotic small subunit ribosomal RNA", at positions 20 to 575 of the family's 1831-position model. The record is from RNAcentral.